This 86-nucleotide transfer RNA is filed under the name Caldinitratiruptor microaerophilus. RNAcentral describes it as "tRNA-Arg". The record is from RNAcentral. Lineage: Bacteria; Bacillati; Bacillota; Clostridia; Eubacteriales; Symbiobacteriaceae.
UCGCCUCGAGCGACCGGGUGAUCGCCGCCGGCUUCGACCCGGUGGAGCUCGACAGGGACUGGACGUUCGACGCGCCGGUGCUGAAC